AUGGCGACCGCCGGCUGUACCGGCCGCUGGGUCCCGCUUGCCCUCGCCCUGCUACUCGCCGCCGUCUUCGCGCUGGCGCUCAUCCCGCAGGCCGCCCUCGCCGCGUCCGGCGGCGUCAUGGGCGGCCGCUCCUACUCCUCUUCCGAACCCGACGACUCGUCCUCCUCCAACUCGUAUUCGUUCUACGACUCGUCGAGCCACAUAUCGAUCGGCAGGCCGUCGCGUCGCCGCGCGGCCAAGGACGACGACGACGACAACUCGGAUGUGAUAUUCUGGGUGGUGUUUGUCGGUCUCGUUUUGCUGAUCGCUGCCGUUUGGUACUACUACGAGUACGAACGCCAGAGGACAACCGUGGUUAAGCUCCAGGUUGCCUUGCUCGGCUGGGCCAAACCGUUUCAGAGGGAAUUGAACGAGAUCGCGGAGAGAGUACAGGCUUCCAACAAGCAUUCGUAUAAAUUCAUGUUGACUGAGACCAUAUGUUCCUUGAGCCGUCACAGGGAUUCCUGCGUAUUUUCAAGCUUAUCAGUUAAUGUGAAAAAUGGAGUGGAUACUUGGGAGGCACAUUUCGAUAAACUUUCUAUCAAGGAGAGGAGCAAAUUUGAUGAAGAAACACUUUAUAACUUGGAAGGAAUCAAGCAGACGAAAGAGUACUCCAAAAAGUUAGAUGGCUCCAGAAACGAAUAUAUAGUGGUAACCAUCCUAGUUGCUGCCAAGGGAGCACUGAAGUUCCCAAAAAUCACAAGACCCGCAGAUCUGGAAGCAGUAGUAGAAAAACUCAACUCUAUACCUGCAAGAGAAAUUCAGGGCGUUCAUGUUUUAUGGACUCCUCAAGAUGAGAAUGGCAUUCUUUCUGAAGAGAAGCUUCUAGCGGAUUGUCCUAAUCUCAAGCCUCAUAAUGAUUACUAG
Molecule: ribosomal RNA, 906 nt
Filed under: Triticum aestivum (bread wheat)
Lineage: Eukaryota; Viridiplantae; Streptophyta; Magnoliopsida; Poales; Poaceae
Description: partial small subunit ribosomal RNA
Source: RNAcentral